This 1075-nucleotide long non-coding RNA is filed under the name Panax ginseng (ginseng). Its description in RNAcentral is "long non-coding RNA (PGIN_LNC007117)". The record is from RNAcentral. Lineage: Eukaryota; Viridiplantae; Streptophyta; Magnoliopsida; Apiales; Araliaceae.
AGUUUUCUCUCUUUCUCUCUCUAAAUUAUCGAGCGUAUUCUUGUGAGUAUACUUUGAGUGUUGCUAUACGGUGCGGGUUUCUGUCAGCACUAUACCGAAAUUCAGUCAGAAGUACGGUUAUUUUGAGGUAAGGGGUAUUAUUUUCUUCUUAAAUGAUAUUUUUUCUUCAAUAUCAUUAUGCCGAAGUAUUGGUGAACUUUUUUAUCAAAUUUGGAACUUGUUGUGUCGGGGUUACUAUUCACGUAUACGGCACUAUUCACGUAUACGACACUAUUCACGAAUACGGCACUAUUCACCGAAAAAUAAAAAUUUUUCUUUUUGUCCAAAAUAUCUAUUCUGGAUACUAGCUUUGAUUGUAUCCAUGUUUUGAUCAUUCUUGAAUUUUACACCAAUAUGAUUAUUUUCGAAGUAUUUUUGGACAUGGGUAAAACAAAGUACGAAUCCUUAAUCCUUAAUCCUUGUCAUUUUGUUUCACUGGAUUCGUUUCUUUAAAAAUGUUUUUCAUCAUCCUCAGUCCUAAAUGGUGAUAUAAAUGAAUAUCUUUGGCCUGUAGUGCAAAGAUGAACGAUUAACUGAUGAAUAUCUUUGGCCUGUAGUGCAAAGAUGAACAGGUGUUGAGAUGAACAUGACCAACUGGUGAUACAAAUGAAUAUCUUUGGCCUGUAGUGCAAAGAUGAUUAAAGAUGUAUAUUGAUUGUUAUUACAGGGAUAAACUAUUGAUGAUGGACUUUUAAACCUUAGAAGACAGUAGAAUUCUUUCUCUACGUGACUCUUCUAAUGGAUUGCUGUUUCCGCUGCAUUUGUUGAUCUAAAACUUGUUGUCUAUUGUAUUCUAUUAGAUUUUUCCCUGUUGAAGACUAACGAUAAUUUGUUGUAUAUUAUCUUAGUCAUAAUAUUCUUUACUGGGCUAGUUGAGCUCACCCUUUUCCUUUUUGUUCCAUUUUUCUUCUCAGGAGGUGAGAACAUAGCAGGAUCGAGUCGGGGUAUGGAGUGAUGGUUCUAGGAAGAUGUUUUAGCUGUCCUCACUAUUUCUGUAAAAUAGUGUAUGAAUAAUUAAUGAGGAUUUAUUUGGGUG